Felis catus (domestic cat) is the source of this 2207-nucleotide long non-coding RNA. RefSeq lists it as uncharacterized. NCBI's taxonomy places the organism in Eukaryota, Metazoa, Chordata, Mammalia, Carnivora, Felidae. The transcript is spliced from 3 exons. The record is from RefSeq and is a predicted model, not a curated record.
CCACAGCAGGCAGUAGGCUGGGUUCUCUAAAUGCAGUAUCUCAGGCGUUUCUCACACACCAUUCGGAGACAGGUCUCUUUGAAACCCCAUGUUACAGUUGAGAACACGGAGAUCAGAGAUAAGAAACUCACCCCAGCUCACGCAGCUGGUAAGUGGGGAACUGAGAAAAGAACACAAGCCUCGGAGAGGUUAUUACAUAAGCUUCUAACCGGCUCAGAGUGUGGCCUCCUCUUUACCUUUCCUGCCGCUGCCUCUCAAAUUACAAGAUCAGCCGGAUGAAGGCGGGAAGACAAAGCCACUUGGCCGGGGUCAUGGAGGAGGUGUGACAGUGAAGGGUCUUCUGCUUCCACAUCCACAAGGCUUUGUCUUCUUUGCUUUGCUGACUCUUCCUCAAAUUUAGAGGUAUUGCGUCUUGAUUUGUUGACCUCAGUAUCUUUGUUUGGCUCAAGAAUGCUCUCAGAACAGUGCCUGGCACACGGCUCAAUCAAUGUUUGCUGAAUGAAUGAGCACGCAUUCACUAAUUUCAAUACCUCUGUUGGUCACAGAGUUUGGGGAUAUAAUGCUCUAGGGAGACGUUUCUGACUAAAAUUUGUUGGCACAUUCAAGUAAAAUUACAAAUGACUAUUAUUCAAGUAACAGCACAAAUGACUACUCUCUAUUUUUCCAUAUGUGAAUGGAUAACAGCAAAGAUCCCGGAGCAGGAAAUUAGGUUAUGCAAAUACCUUCAAGGGCCAAAUUGAAAGUCACUCUUCAUUUGAGGGGAUUUAUUAGCAAUUCUUACCUUUUUCUUUCACAUGCCCUAUUUUACAUUUCUGCUGCAUUUAAGUUGAAUGCUCGCUCCAUCUAGACAAUCUCUAGUACAAACAAAACAGCCAAAUUAAGGCUAGUGAAGAAGCAGUGGUUUUGUUUUUUGUUUUUUGUUUUUUUAUAGUAAGCUUAAGUGCCUGAGCAAAUUAUAGCCCAGCCAGCCAGAGCAGCAAUGAGCCAUUCCAAUUGUAAAUAAACAUAUACGUGGCCUAUGGACAGCCAGCGUGCAUCAGAGACAUCUCAGGCAAUUCAUUUGAACAUUCAAAAGGUUAAACCAGAAGGCAAGAUUGGAUGGGAAUCAUUGUGUCCCCAGCACCUAGGACAUUGGCAGCUGAAUAAAUGCUGAAAUGAUACAUGCUCCCCAAAGGAAGUCAGCCAGCCUUGACUUGGAUAUGUCAAACCCGUCUACUUUGGACCAUGAAAACUAGUGAAUUCACACAAAAGAUCAGAGGUGAAGAACCUGCUGAAAGCUUUGCCAAGGCGAUGACCUCUCAGGCGAACCUCAGAAUGGAUUUGGUUUGGUCAGAUUCAGCCUUCCCUCUCCCAGGCCAUGUAAUCUUCAUCAUAUACCUGCAUUUUAUGGACAAGUCUGGCCUGUGUACCUUCCCUUUGAACUAAAACUCUGGACUGGAGGCCACAGACAGUGAACCACCAGUGAGAACAGAAAAAUCUGGAAGAAUCUGGAAGGGUCUUGAAUCUGAAAGACAAAGAAAUAUGGUAAAGGUAAAUUAUUUCAUUCAACUCCCAGAUCAUGGGGUGCUGGCUCCCAGCAAGGGGCUGAAAAAUGGCGGGUAGCAUCAUUGUCAACAUUAUGACAUGCACCAUCUAUAAUCUGUGUGUACUUUCUCCAAUUCUCUUUCCUCUCCUUCUUCCUUAUGUCACUUUGUUACCUCACAGAAUGGGGUUAAUGCUUUGCUAGGUAGGGGAAGGACUCACUCUUUAUCAAAUGCCUCCCUCUCUCACCAAACUUUAUUAAAAAAUGAAGACCUCUGCAUAUCUUUAUUCCCAAAUUUAAAACUACAAUCUGUGGGUCUUAGUAGUUUCACAUAAUACCUAGAAUUUUUCUUUUAUUCCUAACCCUACAGACUUAGCAUACAUAUAAAACAGAAUUUUAUUGCUAAAGGAGACCUUUGGAAUCAUUAAGCCCCAUCUGGCCAUUUUACAAAUAAGGAAUCAGGCCCAGAAAGGUUAAGUGACUUGCCCAAGAUACACAACUGCUAUGAGUUGGGCCAGAAUUUCUGACUAAGGUCUUGGCUUUUCAAUUAAUACUAGAUAAAGUGAUAAUUGAGAGGUUAUAUCUGUUGGGGAUUUGACCUAGCAUAUGUGUGUGUGCAUGUGUUUGCAUGUGUGUAUGCGUGUGUGUGUGUGUGUGUGUGUGCGUGUAUGUGUAGCAGGUAACA